This is a non-coding RNA of Erythranthe guttata (spotted monkey flower), 883 nucleotides long. NCBI's taxonomy places the organism in Eukaryota, Viridiplantae, Streptophyta, Magnoliopsida, Lamiales, Phrymaceae. The record is from RefSeq and is a predicted model, not a curated record.
CUAAUAUUAAUAAUUGAUAGGCGUUUAAGCAAUUUGUUACAACAUAUGGGUGUCAAGUGCAAUUAACUCUUAAUAAAUUGUUUUUACUCUAAAUUUUUAAAUGAUGAGAUUAUUACAUGCCAACGUUCACCGGAGAACCCAACAAAUCGCUGAACACGAACAACCACCACCCGUGGCGGCGGACGGCGGUCGCCAAUUUCUUCAGAAUGUAAUUAUGAUGAAUUUGCAGAGUUUAGAUCUUACACUUCUGUGAAGCCACUAACAUAUGGUUCAGCCUCACCCUGCAUUCAAAUACGAAGAAAAAAAAAGGCAAAGAAAAAGUCACCGGAUAUCAUUUUGGGAUGAAGAAAUUUACGAAGAAGAAACAAUCACUCAACGAGACUGAAAGGAUUACUUCGAGAACACAAGUUUGAUCGAACAAAUCUUGCAGAGACGGCAAAAAGUGAAGAAAUUUACCUGUGGGAGUUCGUAUUGGUGUCGUUGCUUGGCAAUGUAAGUGUUGCACCUGAUGCAAUAGAAGUAAGCAUCAUUCCCUAUGUGUUCCAUCACAAACAGCCUUCCCAUUUCUGCAGAGAUUUUUCCGACGAGAAUUCCGAUUCUUCAAGAACGAGAUGAUUAUUUUACUGUGGAAAUCCAGAAGAAAGGAAUUCAGGGAGAAACAAAUAAAGGGUUUAUGAUAAUGGGAGAGCUCAUAUAUGUAUGUAUAUAUACAUGUGUUAGGUAUCUAUAGUGUAUGUAUGUAUAGGAGGGAGAAGAGAAUCUGGAUAUCAGUUCAUAAUAACUGUCAUAACUGCCUCAACAGGUAUGCCUUUCUUUGUUAAACCAGUACACGCGCUUCUUGUAAAUAUUUUUAAAAUAUAUAAUUAACAUUUCUUUCUACCAA